This 500-nucleotide ribosomal RNA is filed under the name Flexibacter sp. Its description in RNAcentral is "bacterial SSU rRNA". It matches the Rfam family "Bacterial small subunit ribosomal RNA", at positions 13 to 508 of the family's 1533-position model. The record is from RNAcentral. Lineage: Bacteria; Pseudomonadati; Bacteroidota; Cytophagia; Cytophagales; Flexibacteraceae.
UUGAUCAUGGCUCAGGAUGAACGCUAGCGGCAGGCUUAACACAUGCAAGUCGAGGGGUAACAGGGGAGCUUGCUUCCGCUGACGACCGGCGAACGGGUGCGUAACGCGUAUAGAAUCUGCCUUGNACAGGAGGAUAGCCUUUAGAAAUGAAGAUUAAUACUCCAUAAUAUUGAGAAGNGGCAUCGUUUUUUAAUUAAACAUUUAUGGGUACAAGAUGACUAUGCGUCCUAUUAGCUAGAUGGUAAGGUAACGGCUUACCAUGGCAACGAUAGGUAGGGGNUCUGAGAGGAUUAUCCCCCACACUGGUACUGAGACACGGACCAGACUCCUACGGGAGGCAGCAGUGAGGAAUAUUGGUCAAUGGAGGCAACUCUGAACCAGCCAUGCCGCGUGCAGGAUGACUGCCCUAUGGGUUGUAAACUGCUUUUAUACAGGAAGAAACAGUCGUACGUGUACGGCCUUGACGGUACUGUAAGAAUAAGCACCGGCUAACUCCGUGC